RNAcentral lists this ribosomal RNA (616 nucleotides) under Desulfobulbaceae bacterium enrichment culture clone MS_NAP_U6. Its description in RNAcentral is "bacterial SSU rRNA". It matches the Rfam family "Bacterial small subunit ribosomal RNA", at positions 57 to 663 of the family's 1533-position model. Lineage: Bacteria; Pseudomonadati; Thermodesulfobacteriota; Desulfobulbia; Desulfobulbales; Desulfobulbaceae. The record is from RNAcentral.
GCAAGUCGAACGCGAAAUUUUUUCUUCGGAAGAAAGAGUAGAGUGGCGCACGGGUGAGUAACGCGUAAGUUAUCUACCCUUCCAUCUGGAAUAACUCACCGAAAGGUGUGCUAAUACCGGAUACGCUGGAAACAGGAAAGGUGGCCUCGUUUAAGCUACCGUGGAGGGAUGAGCUUGCGUACCAUUAGCUAGUUGGUAGGGUAACGGCCUACCAAGGCAACGAUGGUUAGCGGGUCUGAGAGGAUGAUCCGCCACACUGGAACUGGAACACGGACCAGACUCCUACGGGAGGCAGCAGUGAGGAAUAUUGCGCAAUGGGGGAAACCCUGACGCAGCGACGCCGCGUGGAUGAUGAAGGCCCUUGGGUCGUAAAAUCCUGUCAGAUGGAAAGAAAUGCUAUAGUAGUUAAUACCUGCUAUAUUUGGCGGUACCAUCAAAGGAAGCACCGGCUAACUCCGUGCCAGCAGCCGCGGUAAUACGGAGGGUGCAAGCGUUGUUCGGAAUUACUGGGCGUAAAGCGCGCGUAGGUGGCUGUUUAAGUCAGACGUGAAAGUCCACGGCUCAACCGUGGAAGUGCAUUUGAAACUGGAUAGCUUGAGUAUUGGAGGGGGUAGUG